CCCGAAGCCUUCAGGUUGAGGGCACGUCUGCCUGGG
Molecule: ribosomal RNA, 36 nt
Filed under: Garcinia macrophylla
Lineage: Eukaryota; Viridiplantae; Streptophyta; Magnoliopsida; Malpighiales; Clusiaceae
Description: 5.8S ribosomal RNA
Source: RNAcentral